AAUUUGGGGAAAUUCCCUAAUUACACAUUGGAAAGUGCAAAAAUAUUAAUCACCAUUGAUUAAAAAUUGCAACCGAUAUUAUUAAGAGAUUCUAUCAAAAUAAUCAAUUAAUUUAAAAGAUUCUCCCAAAAUAAUAAAUUAGUUUAUUUAUUUUUUUAUCCAGAUGUCAUUGACCGUUUAAUGGUCAAAAUCAGAUGAGAUCAUAAAUGUGGAUCACGCUAGCUGCUCCACAUUGACUGAAAUAUCUAUAGUAAUUAAUAGCCACUUGGUCGAUCUCAUUUGUUCUUGAUUCCUGAUUCUUGAUUGAGAAGAAUUCUUAAGAGAAUGGUGCUGAUGCAUGCAUGUCUAUGUAAGUGCGUGCAUUCAAACAAAAUAUCAUCAAAAGUAGGUGUAUGCAAGUAAAAUCCAUGAUGUUAGUCCAAUUAAACAUAAAAUUUAAUUGACAUUAAUUCUUCAAAAAAUAUAUUUUAAAAAAAUAAUUAUUAUGUAAUCUGAAUUUGGUAAUAUAAUUGAAGUACUUUAAGAGUCAGUUUGGUAAUGUUGUAGUUUUUAAAAUAAUUAUUAUUAGUUAUACUAUAAAAAUAAUCAGUUAUGAAAAAAAUUAGUUAUGAAAAAAAUCAUAGUAAAUCUUUUUAAAAGUGCUAUGAAUUUUAAAACUAAUCUAUGUGUUUGGUAAAUUUUAUUGUUAAUCUUCUAUAAGAAUGUAAAUGAUUGAAUUGGAUUUGUACUGCGUUUGCUAAACUAAAAUCGAAAUAAGAUGGAAUCAGAAUGGGUAAGAAUGAGAAUAUGCUGGAAUAGGAAUGGAGAAUAAGAAUUAGAAUACGUUGUUUACUUGAACUGUAGGAAUUGAAAUCGGAAUCGGAAUGAAUUAAAUUGUUACAAAUUACUAAAAAGUCUUUAAUAAUAAUGACCAUAAUAUUAAUUAAAACAAUAAAU
RNAcentral lists this long non-coding RNA (936 nucleotides) under Citrus x clementina. Its description in RNAcentral is "Citrus clementina (C. clementina) long non-coding RNA (CCLE_LNC002602)". Lineage: Eukaryota; Viridiplantae; Streptophyta; Magnoliopsida; Sapindales; Rutaceae. The record is from RNAcentral.